This is a long non-coding RNA of Oreochromis aureus, 1210 nucleotides long. RefSeq lists it as uncharacterized. The transcript is spliced from 3 exons. Lineage: Eukaryota; Metazoa; Chordata; Actinopteri; Cichliformes; Cichlidae. The record is from RefSeq and is a predicted model, not a curated record.
UUUUAGGAAGCAGAAUUUGAAUGCAGACCAACUCAAUUGUUGAAGCCUACAAAUAUAUCACCCAAGCUUUCAUUUAUGAUUGCUCACACUUUGAAAUUGUGAUGUCAGAAUUUGAUAAAGUGUGCAGUGCUAGCUGUAGCAAAUCAUUGCUUAUUAAAUCUACUGUGUUAUCUAAUAGCACCAAACUAAUAGAGCUAUCACAUAACUGAGAAACUUGUGUGGCUUAUUACAAAUGGAUGAAACCACAUUUUACCUUAAUUAAGACAGUAAUCUUUAAUAAGGUGUAGAAAAAAGAGGUGAGUUGUUUGUUGCUGUGGUAAACAAAGAAGUGUACUGAGUCUUUUGGACUACACAGAGUGAUGUAGUAUUGACUCUGAUGCUGAUCUGAGUUGUCUCAUUCUGUAUUUUUGUGCUUUGUCUUUUGUUACACAGAGUGAACGAGAUCUUUGGUUUUGCCUUUGCUGACUGCUGAUCUGAUCGUCUCAAGUCUGGUGACCUGCUGCAGAAAACCCUCUCCCUCUAUCAUUAUAAGCAAUUCUGUCUAUCCUAUCACUCUCCCAACUCUAUCUAAUUUGACAGCCAUUCUAUCUUGUAUCACUCUAUCCCAACUGCUCUAUCUAAUUUGACAGCCAUUCUAUCUUGUAUAAAUCUAUCCCAAGCACUCUAUCUCGUUGUCAGAAAUCUAAGUCUUCAGAAAUCUAAGUCUUCAGAAAUCCCAGUUUUCAGAAAUCCCAGUUUUCAGAAAUCCAAGUUUUGAAAAAUCCAAGUUUUGAAAAAUCCAAGUUUUGAAAAAUCCAAGUUUUGAAAAAUCCAAGUUUUUGGCAAUUGAAGUUACCAGAACUUUGUCAAUCUAUAAUCAGAAUUCUGAGAGAUCUCUACUCUCACUGCUCCUCCUUUCCUGUCAUUAAACUCUCUCUCCAUUCAUUUUGCUGGAAAAUAACAAUUAGAAAGUUGAAUAUACAGUAGUAGAAUUGCAGUACAGUAGAACUUAUAGUAGAAACUACUUAUACAGCCCUACAUUUGUAGUUUUAACUUGACAUUACACUUUGGAAUAAACACUGAUAGUUUGGCUUACUGGUGCAAUUACUUUGAUACAUUAUAUAAAAUAUACACCUUUUUAUAAGGUUUAUUUGUAAUAAGAUAAUCUGACUAUUCUGUAAUAUAUUCAGAGUCCUAUAUUCACAUAAAUAUUAAAUUUGAUUCAAAAACA